GAUGAAGAACGCAGCGAAAUGCGAUAAGUAAUGUGAAUUGCAGAAUUCAGUGAAUCAUCGAGUCUUUGAACGCACAUUGCGCCCCCUGGUAUUCCGGGGGGCAUGCCUGUCCGAGCGUCAUUGCCGCCCUCAAGCACGGCUUGUGUGUUGGGCCCCCGCCCCCCGGCUUCGGGGGGCGGGCCCGAAAGGCAGCGGCGGCACCGCGUCCGGUCCUCGAGCGUAUGGGGCUUCGUCACCCGCUCUGUAGGCCCGGCCGGCGCCCGCCGGCGACCCCAAUCAAUCUUUCCAGGUUGACCUCGGAUCAGGUAGGGAUACCCGCUAAACUUAAGCAUAUCAAUAAGCGGAGGA
This 348-nucleotide unclassified non-coding RNA is filed under the name soil metagenome. RNAcentral's name for it is "partial contains 5.8S ribosomal RNA, internal transcribed spacer 2, and large subunit ribosomal RNA". The stretch from base 1 to 120 matches the Rfam family "5.8S ribosomal RNA", at positions 35 to 154 of the family's 154-position model. The record is from RNAcentral.